UACGUAGGGGGCGAGCGUUGUCCGGAUUUAUUGGGCGUAAAGCGCGCGCAGGCGGUUCGUUAAGUCCGUUGUGAAAGCUCCCGGCUCAACUGGGAGAGGUCUUCGGAUACUGGCGAACUCGAGGGAGGCAGAGGAAGGUGGAAUUCCGGGUGUAGUGGUGAAAUGCGUAGAGAUCCGGAGGAACACCAGUGGCGAAGGCGGCCUUCUGGGCCUUUCCUGACGCUGAGGCGCGAAAGCCAGGGGAGCAAACGGG
This 253-nucleotide ribosomal RNA is filed under the name uncultured bacterium. RNAcentral describes it as "partial 16S ribosomal RNA". It matches the Rfam family "Bacterial small subunit ribosomal RNA", at positions 524 to 776 of the family's 1533-position model. The record is from RNAcentral.